This 469-nucleotide ribosomal RNA is filed under the name Escherichia coli. Its description in RNAcentral is "bacterial SSU rRNA". It matches the Rfam family "Bacterial small subunit ribosomal RNA", at positions 30 to 487 of the family's 1533-position model. The record is from RNAcentral. Lineage: Bacteria; Pseudomonadati; Pseudomonadota; Gammaproteobacteria; Enterobacterales; Enterobacteriaceae.
AUUGAACGCUGGCGGCAGGCCUAACACAUGCAAGUCGAACGGUAACAGGAAGAAGCUUGCUUCUUUGCUGACGAGUGGCGGACGGGUGAGUAAUGUCUGGGAAACUGCCUGAUGGAGGGGGAUAACUACUGGAAACGGUAGCUAAUACCGCAUAACGUCGCAAGACCAAAGAGGGGGACCUUCGGGCCUCUUGCCAUCGGAUGUGCCCAGAUGGGAUUAGCUAGUAGGUGGGGUAACGGCUCACCUAGGCGACGAUCCCUAGCUGGUCUGAGAGGAUGACCAGCCACACUGGAACUGAGACACGGUCCAGACUCCUACGGGAGGCAGCAGUGGGGAAUAUUGCACAAUGGGCGCAAGCCUGAUGCAGCCAUGCCGCGUGUAUGAAGAAGGCCUUCGGGUUGUAAAGUACUUUCAGCGGGGAGGAAGGGAGUAAAGUUAAUACCUUUGCUCAUUGACGUACCCGCAGAAG